GAUGAAGAACGUAGCGAAAUGCGAUACUUGGUGUGAAUUGCAGAAUCCCGUGAACCAUCGAGUCUUUGAACGCAAGUUGCGCCCGAAGCCAUUAGGCCGAGGGCACGCCUGCCUGGGCGUCACACGUCGUUGCCCCCCCAUCUACUCCUUCGGGAUUGCGGGGGGCGGAUGAUGGCCUCUCGUGCGCCUCGUCGCGCGGUUGGCCUAAAUGCCAAGUCCUCGGCGACGCACGCCACGACAAUCGGUGGUUGCGAGACCUCGGUUGCCUGUCGUGUGCGGUCGUCGCGCAUCGAGGGCUCGAAAAAAUUGCCGGGCUUCGGCUCGACUUUCAACGCGACCCCAGGUCAGGCGGGGUUACCCGCUGAAUUUAAGCAUAUCAAUAAGCGGAGGA
RNAcentral lists this unclassified non-coding RNA (391 nucleotides) under soil metagenome. RNAcentral's name for it is "partial contains 5.8S ribosomal RNA, internal transcribed spacer 2, and large subunit ribosomal RNA". The stretch from base 1 to 122 matches the Rfam family "5.8S ribosomal RNA", at positions 35 to 154 of the family's 154-position model. The record is from RNAcentral.